GAACACAUGAAAAAUUAGUCUCUGAUCAGGAGCAUUAUCCAAAAGAAAACAAAAUACUCAUAUCCAUUUCUUUUAAUAUUGUGACACUAUUAUUUUGUUUAGAAAGAAAACACACCCCAAACUCCUUUCUUUAAUCCAAAAAUAUCACCUCUAAGAACUCCUGUUUGCAAGAUGAGGAGAGCAGAAGUAUUCUACACCCUUUUUCUCGAUCCUAAUAUUAUAUGUUAUCCUUUUUCCCUCACUUUCUUUCUUUGUGAUGGAUUGCUUUAAGGGUCAUUGUAACCUGACGUCAUGGACAUAAAGGAGUUGAAAAGUGGAAAAGUGAUAAAGAUGGUUCUGAAACUUUAUUUUCUUUAUUAUGAUCCUGACACUAUUAAAUAUCAUACAGGCAGCGGAGGGAUAAGGGAAGGAAAGAAAGGGAGAGAAAUUAUUUAUAUUUCCUUCCGAUUUAACUAGGGAAACUAAAAAAUUACCCAGAGUAAUGACAGUCAACCAGAAGCUUUGACAGCUUGUAAGGUAAAUAAUAGACAGUUCUUAAAGUAACAGUUUAUUAAAACCAGGAUCAAACGGAUUUUGGGGGGUGGGGGAACUUGGUCAAAUUAAUCAAAUAAACCGCAAUGAACGUUAAACAUAUCGAACAAGAUUAAAUGAUUAAAAGUUUAAACGUUCUUCUUGUUUCCAGACCACCCCUAAUUCUGCUACACCAUAAACUGCAAGUACUGAACAAAUGUUCAAAACCCAUACUCCAUAAGCUCUGGUGUCAAAAGGAGUUUAUCUUGUCUCAUAAUUUCACAAUGAUACAGGAAAAAAGGUUUCCCACUAGGCUGUUAAUAAACUACGAAACGGCAGUAAAGUACAGAUCGGGGAAAUGGCACACAAGAACCGGUCUACCUAUCCAACUACGUCCACGCAACUCUACUGGUGAGAAAGGUAAAGAGACAAGCCGCUCAGAGUCCGAGAGACGCGGAGACAACAUUUCUAACCCAGCACGUGGCUCUGGGCACCCUUCCCCAUCAUCUGGAACUCGGGAAGCCCGAGCUGCUGAUUCACCGCUCCUCGGUUCCACCCGACGGCUUCCCCCCAAGGAAGUAAAUAAACGCCUGAACUCAGCCUCCUGACGGCCGGCGGGGUCGCCCCGCCCUUGGCUACUCGACCACCUGAGGCCUCAGGGCCGGGGGAGCACCUGACCCGAACAGCCUCUGAGCUCGCGAGGCCCUCAGCACUGCCCGGCGAGAAGACAGCAAGCGGGGCUCGCGCCGCGGCCUCGACCUGCUCUGAGAAGAACCUCUCGGUCCUCUGGAGGACCACGGGCAGCACCCGGAGAACUCACGUGACCCCCUUCCCGAAAACAGCGGCUCCCGCCCGCCUCCGCGCGGGCCGCCGGCCCAGAUUCCCUGCCAGGAGGAGGGAGGGGCUGGGCCGCCGCCGCUCCCGGAAGUGACGUCACGUCGAGGGCGCCCGCCUCAGGGGCGUGAGUCGUGGUCUCAGGGGUCCUCGGCGCCUGGGUCGAACCUAGUUUGUGCUGAAUCCAGUUUACCUGGAGAAGGGGUGAAGCUGAGAAGUUCAGUCUAGCCGCUCAGUCAUGUCCGACCCUUUGCGACCCCAUGGACUGCAGCAUGCCAGACCUCCCUGCCCAUUGCCAACUCCUGGGGCUGGCUGAAACUCAUUUGAAGCUGAGAAGACUGGAAGACAAUUGGCGUUUUCAAUUUUUUGCUUCAGUGGGGUGCAAGGACCUUUCCACUGGACUUCCAGGCUCUCACAAAGCUGUGCUUCCUGUUGCAGGUGCUGCCUCUACUGGCGGGAGUCAGAGAUGCCGUGUUAGAUGAGAGUGCGCAAGAUCGCGACAUAGCUCGUAGAAAUGUGAAAACAGCAGAAGUGAAGGAUGGUUAGACUCGCAAAGAUCUAGCACUGUUUGAUGAGCAAAACAAAGAAGAGCAGCCAUCCUCAUGCAGCUUACACGGACGGGAACAGACAGAAGACAACUCCACAGCGAACGGAUAAAUGUUUACUAUGAUAGGGGCGGAUAUGUUUGGGAACCUGAAGGAAUAAAUCAGGGUAGAGGGAAUGGGAGAAGGUGGUCAAAGUGGAGCGGGGAGAGAGGAGUCAGCAGCGCUAGCAUGGGUCUCCUGCGAAAACGCGAUCGGAGGGAAGUCGCGGGCAUUAGUCACCCAAGAGUCCUCUUGGAGGAGGAGCAGUUCAGGCGGAGGGAUCGGCAGAGUCACGGGCCGCAGACGGAAACUGAUCUGGGCUCUUGGAGACCCAGCAAGGAGGCCGGUGACGGGAACCGGGCGAGCGCGGGCAGAAGCAGGGUGUCGGGGGACGUAGGGUCUUCCAGGUAUCCUAAGGACUCUUGUUGUUGUUGCUCAGCUGCUCCGUCACGUCUUACGUGCACUGCACCUCGUCAGGCUUCCCCAUCCUUCAAGACCUCCUGAAGCUUGCUCAGACUCAAGUCUGUUGAAGGAAACAAUUAGAAAAUGGCUGUCUACAAAACCGGAAGACUGCCUUCAACAAGAAUUCAAGCAUGAGCGCACCCUGAUCUCAGACUUCCAGCCUCCAGAACUUUGGCUUGUGCUUGCUCUGUCUUGCCAACUCUCGCGACGCAGUGCAUUU
Long non-coding RNA from Capra hircus (goat), 2610 nucleotides. RefSeq lists it as uncharacterized. The record is from RefSeq and is a predicted model, not a curated record. The transcript has 8 exons. NCBI's taxonomy places the organism in Eukaryota, Metazoa, Chordata, Mammalia, Artiodactyla, Bovidae.